Molecule: ribosomal RNA, 165 nt
Filed under: Youngia japonica subsp. japonica
Lineage: Eukaryota; Viridiplantae; Streptophyta; Magnoliopsida; Asterales; Asteraceae
Also listed under: 1 other name
Description: 5.8S ribosomal RNA
Rfam family: 5.8S ribosomal RNA
About the family: 5.8S ribosomal RNA (5.8S rRNA) is a component of the large subunit of the eukaryotic ribosome.
Source: RNAcentral
AAACGACUCUCGGCAACGGAUAUCUCGGCUCACGCAUCGAUGAAGAACGUAGCAAAAUGCGAUACUUGGUGUGAAUUGCAGAAUCCCGUGAACCAUCGAGUUUUUGAACGCAAGUUGCGCCCAAUGCCAUUUGGUUGAGGGCACGCCUGCCUGGGCGUCACGCAU